UCCAUCGUGAGGUGGAAUCUGAAGGAAGAACUAGGCAAACUGUUGACCCGAUGGUCACGAACCUCAAUUGAGGUGGGUAGAUGACAGGAAAGAUAUAUGU
Solobacterium moorei F0204 is the source of this 100-nucleotide non-coding RNA. The record is from Rfam. Lineage: Bacteria; Bacillati; Bacillota; Erysipelotrichia; Erysipelotrichales; Erysipelotrichaceae.